CUUGCUCCUUCGACGUUAGCGGCGGACGGGUGAGUAACACGUGGGCAACCUACCUUAUAGUUUGGGAUAACUCCGGGAAACCGGGGCUAAUACCGAAUAAUCUGUUUCAUCUCAUGGUGAAACACUGAAAGACGGUUUCGGCUGUCGCUAUAGGAUGGGCCCGCGGCGCAUUAGCUAGUUGGUGAGGUAACGGCUCACCAAGGCGACGAUGCGUAGCCGACCUGAGAGGGUGAUCGGCCACACUGGGACUGAGACACGGCCCAGACUCCUACGGGAGGCAGCAGUAGGGAAUCUUCCACAAUGGGCGAAAGCCUGAUGGAGCAACGCCGCGUGAGUGAAGAAGGAUUUCGGUUCGUAAAACUCUGUUGUAAGGGAAGAACAAGUACAGUAGUAACUGGCUGUACCUUGACGGUACCUUAUUAGAAAGCCACGGCUAACUACGUGCCAGCAGCCGCGGUAAUACGUAGGUGGCAAGCGUUGUCCGGGAAUUAUUGGGCGUAAAGCGCGCGCAGGUGGUUUCUUAAGUCUGAUGUGAAAGCCCACGGCUCAACCGUGGAGGGUCAUUGGNAACUGGGAGACUUGAGUGCAGAAGAGGAUAGUGGAAUUCCAAGUGUAGCGGUGAAAUGCGUANAGAUUUGGAGGAACACCAGUGGCGAAGGCGACUAUCUGGUCUGUAACUGACACUGAGGCGCCGAAAGCGUGGGGAG
This 707-nucleotide ribosomal RNA is filed under the name Lysinibacillus fusiformis. RNAcentral describes it as "bacterial SSU rRNA". It matches the Rfam family "Bacterial small subunit ribosomal RNA", at positions 79 to 768 of the family's 1533-position model. Lineage: Bacteria; Bacillati; Bacillota; Bacilli; Caryophanales; Bacillaceae. The record is from RNAcentral.